CGAACACGCUUCUCCGGGAUAAUUUUGUCGAAUGGAUUCCAGGAGAUGCAAGAAACAUGGAAGAUUGUUGAUUUUUCGUUUCGUACAAAAUUAUUUGUUUGCUGGUCGUUACAUGAUGUGCUUCAACAGUUGCUGGUGGCCACCAUUUUGGCAUGAAGCUUGCAUAAUGUUUUUCCUCUAUGUCCUUACUGGCGAAUUUCCGGAAGAGCUAUCGACGAUUUACCUUCACUCACCAAUUCAUGUUUCGUAGGUUUGUUUCUGUUUUUGAAUUU
Xenia sp. Carnegie-2017 is the source of this 272-nucleotide long non-coding RNA. RefSeq lists it as uncharacterized. The transcript is spliced from 3 exons. NCBI's taxonomy places the organism in Eukaryota, Metazoa, Cnidaria, Anthozoa, Malacalcyonacea, Xeniidae. The record is from RefSeq and is a predicted model, not a curated record.